This 478-nucleotide ribosomal RNA is filed under the name uncultured bacterium. RNAcentral's name for it is "partial 16S ribosomal RNA". It matches the Rfam family "Bacterial small subunit ribosomal RNA", at positions 28 to 507 of the family's 1533-position model. The record is from RNAcentral.
GAUGAACGCUGGCGGCGUGCCUAACACAUGCAAGUCGAACGAACAAUGUAUACGGUAACCUUCGGGCGGAUGCCUUCAUUUCUAGUGGCGGACGGGUGAGUAACGCGUGGGUAACCUGCCUCCUACAGGGGGCUAAUAGUUGCAAACGCCUGUUAAUCCUGCAUAAGAUCAUUCCAUCGCAUUAUCCGGAGAUAAAAACCCCGGUGGUUAGAGAUGGACCCUCGUUCGAUUUGCCUGUUGGCGGGGUAACGGCCCACCAAAGCGACGACCGAUAGCCGAUAUGAGAGGAUGACCCGCCACAUUGGGACUGGGACACGGCGCGAACUCCUGCGGGAGGCAGCAAUGGGGAAUAUUGCACAAUGGGGGAAACCAUGAUGCAGCGAGGCCGCGUGAGUGAAGAAGUACUUCAGUAUGUAAAGCUCUAUCAGCAGGGAAGAAAAUGACGGUACCUGAGUAAGAAGCCCCGGCUAACUACGUG